UGUGUGUAUGUAUAUAUAUCAAUCUAAACCUCUGCUACGACCACCACACUCAAAUCCUCAGCUCCUUCUAAAUUAGUAACCAGCAGUUUAAAUACUCCCCUGGUGUGUUCCUGCCUCAGAAUGUUGGUUCUUGUAUCUGAUUUCCCUUCCAUUUGAUAUGCAUAUUUUAAUCCCUACUGAGUCCAAAAUGUUCCAUUUCUACCUACUGAUCACAUAGUUAACAAAAGCUAUGUUUUGCAAAUAAUUUACACUCUAGUUGAAAAACAUAAAUCAUAUUGGAAGGCAUCUAUUUUAUGUUAAGGUAAUCAUGUUUCAACGUGCUCUCCAAAUCUCAGUGGAUUGCCACUGUACAUGGUUAUUUAUUGCUGCUGCUUCUCCUGGGAGGUAGCAUGCCCCCGGGUGCUUCAUGGACAUGGGAUCCUGUUGCUCCACUAUUUGUAACACCUGAUUUGCAAGGUCGUCAAGCUCAGCUGAAUCAAGGAAAAAGACCAUGGAAGACAGCACGUGUGAGGCAGGCCAAGCGUGUGAGGAGUACACGCAUCACUUAUGCUCGUAUUCCCUGGCCAGAACUUAGUUUUAUGGCCACGUCUAACUACAAAGGAAGGAGGGAAACCUAACAUGUCUGUUCCCAGAAAUAAGGCAAAGCAGAUUUGGUGAAUAAUUAGCCCAUCUCAGUCAUAGUACGUGGAAGGCUGCCUGGUUCACCCUCCAUCCCAUAGCUCAAUUCAUAGACUAACAUCUAUAAUGACCAGUCCUUUACUAUCUCUGCACACCUGGAUGUGGGUCAGACAAAGAAAUUCAAUUUUUUCACAAUAUUGAUGGGAAAGUCCUUUCUAAUAUAUAGUUGAAGUUUCCUUCUCUGUAAUUAUCACCAGGGGUUCAGGAUCUUCUUUGAAAACCCCAAGGCUUGAAUCUCUCCUCUCUUCCAUAAUGCAAGAGGCCAGGGGAAAGGAGUUGGGUUAGGGACUGGGUGGAGGUGGGCAAGUGGGGGAUGGGUCAUCUAUAAUAGUGUCAACAAUAAAAAAUAAAGUUAAUUUUUUAAAAAAGCCCUGGAGUAACUCACCAGAGAACCAGGGCCCUGUGCUAUUGUUCUUGGCACACCUGUUAAUCAUAUUUUCAAUGUUAGCAUGCUUCUGAAAAAUUUUUUUCUUAACAAGAUGCCCUAAGUUAUUUCAACUUUAUAUGCUGUAUUUACCAGGUUGAUCCUGGUUGUUUUCACCCAGACUUCAUGUGAAUUGUCAUGGCCUAUUUAAAGAGUAGGGUGCUGAACUGACACACUACUCCAGAUGCUGUAUGACUUGUACAGAGAACAUCUAAACAGAGGCCAGACGACUAAAAUUUAAAUUCUGACUUUCUAUUUACUAGUUGUGUGAUUUUGAACAUGUUACUUAAUAUAUGUCACAGUUUCCCUGUUAUGCAACUUCUUGGGAAUAGUAAUACUAUCUAUUUGUCAUUGUGGUUUUAUUAAGCUAUUAAGUAGAGUUGUGCGUAAAUUAUUUUGUGUUGCCUAGGGAUAGACACUUAGUGUCAUUAUAAGUUAAUAUAUUCCUUAUUAUGUGUGAUACAUCUAUUAUUCCAGUCUUAGUCUGCCAGAACUUUUAGAAUCAUGUCUAAAUGUUUAUAGAUUUAAAAAUUGUCGAGUUGUUUGUAGAUGGAUUGGACUAAAAAGAAUAUAUGUGAAGAGCCCAAGGAACGGCAGCUGUACGCCUGUUUCAUGGGAAAGGAGAAGGCAGAAGGGACAGAUACUGCUGAGGCACAGCCACAGGACUUGGUGCCUCUUCCCUACCUACUCCCAUUCUGCGUCUUUCAAAUCCCUGUCCUCCUGAGAGUGUCCUCCUGUUACCCCCAACUGAAAACAAUCUGCUGCUUUUUCCAAAUCUCUAGCACAUCUUCCUUUUGCUAUUCCCUCAAUGUUUAUUAGUAAUAAUUAUGUCACUAGCUAAUGUUUAUUGAACACAUCUGGUGCUGUGUGUUAGAUUAGAACCUUCUCAUGUCCAUGAUUUUCUUACCCUGUUUUACUAUUUUUACUUACUAUCUUGUACCUCACAGUCUAGAUUAUAGACAGGACUGUGCUUUCAUCUGAGUAGGGAAUUCCCUCUGAUGUCAGCAGGAACUCCAAGAUCAGUCAAAUCUCUGGUGAAGAAAACUUCCAGUGUAAGUUUAUUUCAGGGAAAUCAAACACCCAGGAAAAUGUUUAUAUUUUUCAGGUUUUCUCUUCAAUUCGCACUGUGUUCUAUGCACUGAAUGAAGGAAAGUGUUCUAGGUGAAAUUAGGCCAUAGAGUUUCUUUGGGUAAGGUGGAGUCCAGAUAAUACUCAAAUGUCUUAUCUUCAAAAUUUGUGUAUGCAUGUGUGUUUUUAACAUACUCAGAGUAGAAACACUUCAUAGCACCCUUGAACAACAAAAUAGUUUCUGUAGGUGGAUUUUUGAAAGACCUGUUUCAGGACACUUUUAGGAAAUCUCUAAAAUUUCUAGGAGCCAUACAUAUAUAUAUACACACACACGCAUACAUACGUUGCUUAUUACAACUUUCUCUUUACGAGGCAUUGGCACUAGAUAUAAAAUUAUUUAGAAAUGAACAUUUGCUCUCUUGAGUUGUAAUUUCUUCAGCCACUGCAGUUGCUUUUAUAGUUGUUUUAAGAAAGAAAAGUAUACUAAACAUUUCCUCAAGUGAAAUUUUAGCACCCAUCAAGGAGAAAUCCAUCCUUUUAAAGAAUUUGUAGGUUAAACACAGAGAGAGAGAAAGCUGAGUAGUUUUUUAAAGACAUUAUUUAGUGACCCUCUUUGGAAAUUCUCCCUUGUUCAUACAUUUGCCCUACUUAACUAUAAGGUUAUCUUUUCCCUGUCUCUUCUGUGAGGACACCCAGUGCAAGUCAUUGCUGAUGUUCUCCUGGGAGAUGGGGACCCAGCAGUAGGCUGUGAGUAUAGUGUGAUACCAGGAUGUGGGGAGGAGGUUUUUGGGAAGAUCACUUGGUGAGAACAACAGGAAAUGAUGCCAGCACAUUGGGUGAGGCCAGUUGGCCAAGUCAUUAGCUGUGUCCCUGAUGUAAUUGGCUGUGUCUUCAGGGGAAUCUUGGGGCACUGCAAGUUAAGGGUGCCUGUAGGUUUUGAAAGCUUUUAUUAACUUUUACUAAAAUCAGAAAACCCCAGGAAGACAUUCCUGUUGAAGAGCUUGUCAAUUGACUUGUGAUGUUUAAGAAAUUACAAAGAUAAAAAUAUGACAAAUAGUUAUAGAGGAAACAUGAAAACAAUGUGGAAAUGACCUGGCAGUUUAUGAUGUGUGUGAACUUACUGUGAUCUUUGACAUUUACCUUAAAGAAAAGAAAAGAUGACCAACUGAAGCCAUUGCUACUAGUGGUAAAAAUACUCCUAAGCUGAAAGUCUUCCUUGUAGACUUGCUAGAAAUGUUGAGUGAUAAGAAAAUUAAACAUUGAAUCUCAAAGUUCAUUACAGUAAUUUUUAAAUUAUGGAUUUAGUUUGAAACAUCAUUCUUUAUAUAAAUUUCCUUAUAAAUAGCAAACUUCUGUGACAGAAGGUACCCAAAUGAGCUUCAGCCUCCCUCUUUUUUUAUAAGACAGGAAGCUACCAAAACUCUUCUUCAAGUAAUGGUUUCAGGAAGAAGCUUUAUUAUCACCACUGUAACAAAAUUAUUUCAUGCUUUUUAAUGUUUUUGCUUUUGGAAAAAAAUCAUGUUUGAAAACUGUGAUGGAUUUAAUACAGUUUGAAGUCAUAUAUUUCUAGCUCUGCUGGCCACUUAAUAUUUGACCUUAGUUACUCAACCUUUUUGAAUUGUAGACUCUACUCAUAGGUCAUAUGCUUAUAAAGGCAUUUGAUAUACAAGUGAAAAAAAAAUGACUAAUUAAGUUUACAAAAUGAUAAAAAACUACAGUACAUUUAAGAUAAGUUAAAACAAGUUCCAACUCACUUUUGUGAGAGAGGUGGAUGCCACAUAGAUAAAAACGGGGCAGAAUUCUGUAAUUUUUCGGUGACUCAUAAAUAGGCUGCAGCGCAUUCACAAUGCAAGCAUUGGUGGUGUUCAUUCUAGGACAGCAUCUGCCAAGCCAAGAUUUCAGGUAGGAAAUGUGGAAAUCUGUAGAUAAUAAAAAUUCCAAUUAAAAAUUUUCUUUUGCUAUAUAUUUAACUAUAUGUUAUUUUACCAUAGCCAUCUCUUUAACUGUAUAUGUACAAAUUUUAAAUAUCAUUUAUGUUCAAUUUUAUGGACAUAAAUGCUUUCUGGCUACUUGAGAUGAAAUGAGAUCAAAAUGAGAUCUCAGAAUGAGAUUUGAGUUGAUAUGAGAAGAAAUUAUCUGGUUUAAUUUUGGAAGCAAAACUCUAGGUUCAUAAUAACAUAACUUUAACCUUAAAUGUAUUAUAGCAUAGCUAUUAAUGAUUUAGCUCCUGCUAUGUGUCAGGUACUCUCUGUAUAUUGACCCUUCUAUAUCAACCCUUCAUGACAAGAUUUAGAGUAAGUAUUAUUACCUGUGUUUUACAUAUGCAGAUGCUGAGUCCCAGAAAAAUUGUUGUAUACCCAAGAGAUGAAAUCAGUUGAGUUAGAACUUGAACAUGGAUGUGACUAACUCUUCAUCUCUGUUCUUUCAGCAUUACCUCCCUUUGGGCCAAGAGCUACAUUCACAUUUUUUACGUUACUCUGCACGUAUAUCGAAGCCACAACAAUGAAUGCUCAAUGAUUUUACAAAGUCGUGGUUAGUUAACAGAAGGGUAGGAACACAUCUUUCUGGGUAUGAAAUCUCAAUUCAUUUGUUUCUAUAUGUGGCCUAUAGACAUGUGGACAUCCUUCUUUUCUGAUAAAAAUAUGUGUAUGGAUAGGAGAAAUAUAUGUCUGAUUCAGAGUACUUAUUAAGUAAGACUGACAUAAAAGGAAAACUGAUCAGGAUAAUUUUAUUUUCAACAAUUCAGAGAAAAAUGCCUGAAAGGCUUGAGAUCUAAAGACAAAGAUCAAGGCAGAAAUCUAUUAAGGUUUGGUUCCAGAAGAGCCAGCUGGAAAUGAUGGUUUGCAGGCUCAAGUCACUAAGCAACAGAGUAGCAAACGGCUUGGUAACCAGAGCUGGCCUGACUCACAGACUGACUGAUCAUGACUGGCUGGCCAGAAGGGAGGACCAUGGCCCCUUUUACCUCAAAACAAUCUCCUUCUAUCCAUCUGCCAGCCUUCAUGCCAAUCCCUUCAUUACGCAGUAGUCUCUUUGACUUAGCAAGAUGUCUGCUUUUAUAAUGGAAAUCUCUCUGGGACCAGGAGUAAAUGCUAUCUCUUUCGUCUUUAAAAUGGCAUUUCUGAGAUUGUUUUUUUUGAGGGGGGCAAUACGUCAUAAAUAAAAUGUUAGAUUUAAUGAGAGGAAAGAAAGUGAAAACGUUGGGAUUAGUGGCUUGACUUUCUGGCUUUCGUGAACAAAUAUGUACAGAGCCAAAUUGUCUGAGUUCAUUUGGUGAGAUUUGCCAUUUAUUUGGCACUUUCUACCUUAUGAUCUUUUCAAUUUCAUGCUUGUGUUUUGACUGUGUAGUUGGACCAUAACUUCCUAAAAAGUAGGAACCUCCACACGCAUGAGUCUUUGCCUUCACAAGCACUACCUGUAUAAUGUGCAUCUAGUAAGUACUUGUUGUUUGAUUGAGAAGCAUACCUCCCGUUGCUGUGCUUCUCAUGUCGUAGUAAAAAGAAAUUUUAAACUCAAUGAUUAACCUUGUAUGUGGACUUUGUCGCCAUGACUUUGUGUGUGCGCGUGUGUGUGCAUGUGUGUGUGUUCUGGGUCUGUGCACACCUAGACAGGUGUAAUUUGACCUCGGUAUAUCUCAUAUACUGAUUCAGGAUAGUGUCACUAAUCUGUUAAAUAUAUGCAUUUUAAUAAUAUUUAGUUCAUACUUUUAAAAUAAUUUAUACCUGUUGUAUUUCUGAAAAAAACUUAUUUAAAUAUAUUUAUGAUUCUUAAGAAAUUACUGAAUAACUACCUGGUUAAACUCUGAUGACUAAUCCUUAUCUCUUAGAAUUCAUAGUUGUUAAAUUAUACACCAAGAACUAAGCUUAUAAAAGAAAUGCCAAGAUUUUGAAAAAUCAAAAACACCCUCCGUAGUUCCUUUUUUAGGAUGACAAUUUGAAGAAAUUUGAACUGGCAGAAACUAAGCACCACUUCUCUAAAGCAGGUCUUUAGAAUAACUAAAAGUGAAUAAUAGAAAGCCUUUUAGAAGAGAUUUUGCAUAUAAAUGUUAUUUUAAAGAAAAUAUUUGUCCAUAGUUUAUAUCCAUUUUUGUGUUGUAAUAAUUUCAAAACAACCAAUUUCCUUUUUAUUACCUUUAUGAGAUAGCCCCCUGGUCAUAUUAGCUAAUAUUAAAAUAAAGUGACUUCCUCUCUAUAUUAUUAGUAGGACACAUGGUUAGUUCCUUUUUUACAUAGAUGAUUUCACAUUUAUAUUUAUAAACAGUGAGUACGUAUUGUUGACCUUUUGAAGUAAGCGAUUUUCUGACUAAUAAGGUUACUUGGACUAUCAUUUCUGCAUGUUUACCUUCUUUAGGCUUAUAGUAUUUAUUUUACUUUGCUUUAUUCUGUGCAGUGUGAUUUUUAUGACUUUUUAUUGAGUGGUAACUAGAACAGUGUAUGAUUUAUGGUGGUAAUAACUAAAACAUAUAUGAAUUGGAGGCUGGUGACGCACAAGGCGGAACGCUGUGGCUCCCCUCUGAACGGAAUCCGGCUUCCUUUAAUAAAGCUCUCUUAUUAAUAACAAAGUGAUGUCAUAAAUAGCGUGGUCAUUCCUGUGUCACCUCCCCAGUUUAA
Molecule: long non-coding RNA, 6777 nt
Organism: Phyllostomus discolor (pale spear-nosed bat)
Lineage: Eukaryota; Metazoa; Chordata; Mammalia; Chiroptera; Phyllostomidae
Exons: 2
Source: RefSeq, a predicted model, not a curated record